GACAGAGGGUGCAACCGUUGUUCGGAAUUACUGGGCGUAACGCGAGUGUAGGCGGUCUGCUAAGUCGGGUGUGAAAGCCCCGGGCUCAACCCGGGAAGUGCACUCGAAACUGGCAGGCUAGAGUACUGGAGAGGUUGGUGGAAUUCUCGGUGUAGAGGUGAAAUUCGUAGAUAUCGAGAGGAACACCGGUGGCGAAGGCGGCCAACUGGACAGAUACUGACGCUGAGACUCGAAAGCGUGGGGAGCAAACAGG
This 253-nucleotide ribosomal RNA is filed under the name uncultured bacterium. Its description in RNAcentral is "partial 16S ribosomal RNA". It matches the Rfam family "Bacterial small subunit ribosomal RNA", at positions 524 to 776 of the family's 1533-position model. The record is from RNAcentral.